Molecule: unclassified non-coding RNA, 380 nt
Filed under: uncultured bacterium
Lineage: Bacteria
Description: contains 16S-23S intergenic spacer region
Source: RNAcentral
UCUGGUUUGUCACCGGCGGUCUCCUUAGAGUUCCCACCAUUACGUGCUGGCAACUAAGGACAAGGGUUGCGCUCGUUGCGGGACUUAACCCAACAUCUCACGACACGAGCUGACGACAACCAUGCAGCACCUCUGCGGACUCCCUUGCGGGUCAGCCACUGUUUCCAACAGCUUACCAUCCGUAGUUCAAGCCCAGGUAAGGUUCUUCGCGUUGCGUCGAAUUAAACCACAUGUUCCACCGCUUGUGCGGGCCCCCGUCAAUUCCUUUGAGUUUUAACCUUGCGGCCGUACUCCCCAGGCGGUGGGCUUAACACGUUAUCUCCGACACCGAAGGGCAAGCCCCCCGACAUCUAGCCCACAUCGUUUAGGGCGUGGACUAC